AAAAUUACAUUUUCAUAACUUUUACAAUUGGACACGUUGGGAAGACUUAAGUGAAGAUGAUGAAGAAGUUGCUCUCUCUAUCAUGCCACGUCUGGAGGAGUUAGAUUUUUGGGGCUGUGGAAAGCUUGAAAUUCUACCACAUCGCAUCCUCGGAAGGAUAUCAUCUCUCAAAAAAUUGGAUAUUGGGCGUUGCUCUAAGUUGAGAGAUCAUUACUCUGACAAAACAAGAGAUGACUGGAAACAAAUAUCACACAUUCCUCAAGUUCAUAUAUCCAAUUAGUAUUAAUCAGAUAAUAUUCAUUGCUGGCUCAAAAUGAAGCUACAGCAAAAGGCAUUGACGGAUCAACCUCUACGUCAACUUUUCACUUGGAUUCAUGCAAAAUUUUGAAUAAUUGUAAAAAUAUGGUUGAAGCGACACAUCCACUUGCUUUGUUCAAAAUCAUUUGUUGAAAGCGUCUGUAACCUUGUCAAUUUCCAGAUUGAAUUUCAAGUGGGUACACAACCAGUCUUUAUUUCUUCAAAUUAUUAUUGUCCUAUUGUAUGUAAGUUUGUGUACAUUUAAUAAAGAAGAAUGUUUGUA
Coffea eugenioides is the source of this 580-nucleotide long non-coding RNA. RefSeq lists it as uncharacterized. NCBI's taxonomy places the organism in Eukaryota, Viridiplantae, Streptophyta, Magnoliopsida, Gentianales, Rubiaceae. The record is from RefSeq and is a predicted model, not a curated record. The transcript has 2 exons.